AGCAGCCGCGGUAAUUCCAGCUCCAAUAGCGUAUAUUAAAGUUGUUGCAGUUAAAAAGCUCGUAGUUGAAUUUCGGGGUCAGUAGGCUGGUCGUGCCACAGGUAUGUACUGGUCUUACUGAUUCCUCCUUCCUGAUGAACCGUAAUGCCAUUAAUUUGGUGUUGCGGGGAAUCUGGACUGUUACUUUGAAAAAAUUAGAGUGUUUAAAGCAGGCUAACGCUUGAAUACAUUAGCAUGGAAUAAUGAAAUAGGACGAUCGAUCCUAUUUUGUUGGUUUCUAGGAUCGACGUAAUGAUUAAUAGGGAUAGUUGGGGGCAUUAGUAUUCAAUUGUCAGAGGUGAAAUUCUUGGAUUUAUUGAAGACUAACUACUGCGAAAGCAUUUGCCAAGGAUGUUUUCAUUAAUCAAGAACGAAAGUUAGGGGAUCGAAGACGAUCAGAUACCGUCGUAG
Molecule: ribosomal RNA, 450 nt
Filed under: uncultured Glomeromycotina
Lineage: Eukaryota; Fungi; Glomeromycota
Description: SSU rRNA
Rfam family: Eukaryotic small subunit ribosomal RNA
Source: RNAcentral